RNAcentral lists this transfer RNA (72 nucleotides) under Camelus ferus (Wild Bactrian camel). It matches the Rfam family "tRNA". Rfam says of the family: Transfer RNA (tRNA) molecules are approximately 80 nucleotides in length. Their secondary structure includes four short double-helical elements and three loops (D, anti-codon, and T loops). Further hydrogen bonds mediate the characteristic L-shaped molecular structure. tRNAs have two regions of fundamental functional importance: the anti-codon, which is responsible for specific mRNA codon recognition, and the 3' end, to which the tRNAs corresponding amino acid is attached (by aminoacyl-tRNA synthetases). tRNAs cope with the degeneracy of the genetic code in two manners: having more than one tRNA (with a specific anti-codon) for a particular amino acid; and 'wobble' base-pairing, i.e. permitting non-standard base-pairing at the 3rd anti-codon position. The record is from Rfam by way of RNAcentral. Lineage: Eukaryota; Metazoa; Chordata; Mammalia; Artiodactyla; Camelidae.
GGGGGUAUAGCUCAGGGGUAGAGCGCGUGCUUAGCAUGCAUGAGGUCCUGGGUUCAAUCAACAGUCCCUCCA